This 335-nucleotide unclassified non-coding RNA is filed under the name soil metagenome. Its description in RNAcentral is "partial contains 5.8S ribosomal RNA, internal transcribed spacer 2, and large subunit ribosomal RNA". The stretch from base 1 to 121 matches the Rfam family "5.8S ribosomal RNA", at positions 35 to 154 of the family's 154-position model. The record is from RNAcentral.
GAUGAAGAACGCAGCGAAAUGCGAUAAGUAAUGCGAAUUGCAGAAUUUCCGUGAGUCAUCGAAUCUUUGAACGCACAUUGCGCCCAUUGGUAUUCCGAUGGGCAUGCCUGUUCGAGCGUCAUUUCAACCAUCAAGCCCCCGGCUUGUGUUGGGGACCUGCGGCUGCCGCAGGCCCUGAAAACCAGUGGCGGGCUCGCUAGUCACUCCGAGCGUAGUAAUACAUCUCGCUCAGGGCGUGCUGCGGGUUCCGGCCGUUAAAAGCCUUAUUUACCCAAGGUUGACCUCGGAUCAGGUAGGAAGACCCGCUGAACUUAAGCAUAUCAAUAAGCGGAGGA